Molecule: transfer RNA, 67 nt
Filed under: Loxodonta africana (African savanna elephant)
Lineage: Eukaryota; Metazoa; Chordata; Mammalia; Proboscidea; Elephantidae
Rfam family: tRNA
About the family: Transfer RNA (tRNA) molecules are approximately 80 nucleotides in length. Their secondary structure includes four short double-helical elements and three loops (D, anti-codon, and T loops).
Source: Rfam by way of RNAcentral
GCAGUGGUAAUUCAGUGGUAGAAUGCUCGCCUUCAGUGAGACCUGGGUUCGAUUCCUGACCAAUACA